Molecule: ribosomal RNA, 491 nt
Filed under: uncultured bacterium
Lineage: Bacteria
Description: partial 16S ribosomal RNA
Rfam family: Bacterial small subunit ribosomal RNA
Source: RNAcentral
GUGAACGCUGGCGGUAGGCCUAACACAUGCCAGUCGAACGGCAGCACCGUAAGCGCUUGCUCUUACGGGUGGCGAGUGGCGGACGGGUGAGGAAUACAUCGGAAUCUACUUUUUCGUGGGGGAUAACGUAGGGAAACUUACGCUAAUACCGCAUACGACCUACGGGUGAAAGCAGGGGAUCUUCGGACCUUGCGCGAUUGAAUGAGCCGAUGUCGGAUUAGCUAGUUGGCGGGGUAAAGGCCCACCAAGGCGACGAUCCGUAGCUGGUCUGAGAGGAUGAUCAGCCACACUGGAACUGAGACACGGUCCAGACUCCUACGGGAGGCAGCAGUGGGGAAUAUUGGACAAUGGGCGCAAGCCUGAUCCAGCCAUACCGCGUGGGUGAAGAAGGCCUUCGGGUUGUAAAGCCCUUUUGUUGGGAAAGAAAAGCAGCAGGUUAAUACCCCGCUGUUCUGACGGUACCCAAAGAAUAAGCACCGGCUAACUUCGUG